GAUGAAGAACGUAGCGAAAUGCGAUAAGUAAUGUGAAUUGCAGAAUUCAGUGAAUCAUCGAAUCUUUGAACGCACCUUGCGCUCUUUGGUAUUCCGAAGAGCAUGCCUGUUUGAGUGUCAUGAAAAUAUCAACCUUGACUUGGGUUUUGUGCUCUAGUCUCGGCUUGGAAUUGGGUGCUUGCCGCUUUUACGAGCGGCUCACCUUAAAUGUAUUAGCUGGAUCUGUCUUUGAGACUUGGUUUGACUUGGCGUAAUAAGUAUUUCGCUAAGGACAUUCUUCGGAGUGGCCUCGUUUCUAGGACGCUUGUCCGCUUUCCAUUACAAGUUCCACCUCGUGGACAUGACUUUUUAUUAUCUGGCCUCAAAUCAGGUAGGACUACCCGCUGAACUUAAGCAUAUCAAUAAGCGGAGGA
RNAcentral lists this unclassified non-coding RNA (413 nucleotides) under soil metagenome. RNAcentral describes it as "partial contains 5.8S ribosomal RNA, internal transcribed spacer 2, and large subunit ribosomal RNA". The stretch from base 1 to 120 matches the Rfam family "5.8S ribosomal RNA", at positions 35 to 154 of the family's 154-position model. The record is from RNAcentral.